GGAAUAUUCUCAGUAUAACUGUAAGAAUAAUAUAAAUAUAUUAAAAGCAUUACGAUGUUAUUAAAAAUACAUCAAAAGACAAUGAGAGAUGAAAGACAACCUUUGGGCUAGUUCCACCAAAGUUUUAAGCUGCUUGUUGUAGUGCCUAGUGUUUGGGUGACUUGUAACUUGGCCAGGCUCCGAGGCAGAGAGAGGUACCCCUUGCACGGGCAGGCAGCUCAGGGAGGGAUGCCUCCAGCCAGCACUCCAACGAGGGAGUAGUCAGUGUAUGAAAGUAGGGAGGACUAAAGAAACUGGCAUGAUGUUGUUUCUGCUCAAAAAAGAGAAUUAGUGCCUCAAGCCUGCAAUUGACAAUUAUGAAGCUUUUUGUGGAACUGGUGAACAAAUUAAGUUGUGAUGUUCGUGGACAAGGCAGGUAACAAUUGUUCUGCUCUUUUAGUCAUUAAUCCUAGCGGUCAGAGCACGCAGUGGUCCUCCCUGCAAAUCAGUGGGCUUUGUGUUUCCCACCUGACCACACAGGUAUAGGCAGAAGCUCUGUUUCUAAAACCUAACAGAAUCUAACACGUGGAUUCAAGUGCAACUGAAGCAUGAGUAUAUAAAUCUUAUAAGAGUAGACUUUUUACUUGUCUGGACUUAAAAAUAGAUGUUCUUUAAUUACUUUUACUUGCUUUUCUUUAUUUUAAGUUUCCAACAAAUGGUGAAUUGUAGAUAUGAUAAUAUUAUUCUCCUUAGAAAAUGAUUGUUAUAAUCAUAGAAAUAGGGAUAUGGCUAUUCUUAUGAAACUGUCUCCUUAGGAUAGAGGGGGAAAAAAGAUGGGCUGACUCAGAACUUGUCAUCAGUUUUAGUGUGUUCCAUUUUUAUCUCAAAGAGGAACUCUUGUUAAAUUGUAGGGUCAAAUAACCGGAAAACUGUGACUGCAAUUUGAAACACAAAAGGAGAAGCUGGAAGUCUGAAAAGAGAAAGAAAAAGACAGAGAGGUCUUAAAUUGAGGGAAAAAAAAUGCUAAAAAUUCACAGACAUCAUUCAAACAGUGGGGCUGAAGGAAAGUUCAGCUUUUUAAGUGUAGUGAGAAAGCCUUUAUGUUCUUCACAAGAUUUAGACAGUGCUUGCACAAUUCCUUUGCGUGUUUUGAAAAGGUAUUAAACAAGAAGUAAAUGAAGAACUUUAAUGCUAACCAUCAGAUCAUUUUUCACAAGACAAAAAAAAAAAAAAAGCAGGUAAAAUUAAUAUGAUGUUUUCUUUGUUGGUGCGACUUCAUUAAAAAUAUUGAUAUAAUAUAGAUCAUACUUUUUCACCGAAAGAUUGUGAAAGAUGGAAGUAUGUGUGAGAUAGUUCUCUAUUAAUAGACAAUUUAAGCUGACUCCAGGAAACACUCAGAUUCUGAAUUCUAUUGAUAUCUGCUUUUGCUGUCAGUUUCGCAGGCAUUUUUGUUGCUACCAAUGGCCAUUUAAGUGGAGAAAUGCAACUCCCAGCAUGAAAGGAUUAUUUUGCUAAUCUCCCUUAAAGCUUCCCCCCAGGUAUUCUAUCAAUAUGAGGUUGUUGGUAGGAGACAACUUAAACUUAAUAUAAAUCCUGUUUUUUUUGGAGCUGUGAUUUGAAGUUGCGUGGCAUUCCAGUCAUAUAGAAGGGUAUUUACUAGAACUGUGUGUAUUCAUUCUUUCAUUCUGCUGUCCCCUAAAUCUAAGACCCAGUAGGAAUAAUUUUUCCUGUAGCUGCCCUGGCAAAUAUGCCUUUUAUUACAGGAGAAUCACACUGCUUUCAAAUCCAAUUAGACUCAUACUAUCCUGCUGUGACAUACAUUAAAAAUUAGUAAAUGAAUCUUACAGAAUGACCUGCUGCUUCUGCCAUAGUGUUCCUUCAUUUUAUUAAAGGUUUCUUCAAGCUGAAUUUUAUUUUUUUCUGCUUUCCUACAGUGGGUUCUUUUAGGAAAGGAAAAAAGAAGGAAACACAGAAAAUGUAUUCAGAGGCAGUGCUGCAAAUGGUACAAUAAGUUCCAUCACAGAUAACUGAGAUGAUCCACCACUUAAAAAAAAAAAAAAAUUAUUUCCAGGGCCCAGGACUAACUGUCAAGAGAACCCACAAGCAAAUCAUUUUCUUUGUGUAGGCUUUAAAACUCCCACAAAAACAUCCAUGUUUUAGCUACAAGUGCUUUAGAAAUACAUCUCAUGAAGCAGAUGAAGCUCCUAUCCCAAAGGUACAUUGCAAAGUGAUUUCACUAGGAUUCUCCUCAGUAAAAGAGAUGCCAGCAAAAUCAUAGAUCAUUGCAGCCAGUGUUGGACCUGGUUGGUUCUUGCUGAUUGACUGAGUCUUCUUUUUGUUACAUGUGAGAACUUUUGGUCUAGCACAUCGGAAUACGAACUAACACACUAAAUAUUUUAUUCUGUGCAAAAUUAAGUAUCCCAGGCUUUAAUUCAGCUUCAUCAAAAGAGUCCUUAUUGCAAAUAAAAUAGCCACAAUUCAGGAGAGUAAGAAAGGA
RNAcentral lists this long non-coding RNA (2476 nucleotides) under Anser cygnoides (Swan goose). Its description in RNAcentral is "lncRNA (ENSACDG00005003983.1)". The record is from RNAcentral. Lineage: Eukaryota; Metazoa; Chordata; Aves; Anseriformes; Anatidae.